AGUGAACGCUGGCGGUAGGCCUAACACAUGCAAGUCGAACGGCAGCACAGUAAGAGCUUGCUCUUACGGGUGGCGAGUGGCGGACGGGUGAGGAAUACAUCGGAAUCUACUUUUUCGUGGGGGAUAACGUAGGGAAACUUACGCUAAUACCGCAUACGACCUACGGGUGAAAGCAGUGGAUCUUCGGACCUUGCGCGAUUGAAUGAGCCGAUGUCGGAUUAGCUAGUUGGCGGGGUAAAGGCCCACCAAGGCGACGAUCCGUAGCUGGACUGAGAGGAUGAUCGGCCACCCUGGAACGGAGACACGGUCCAGACUCCUACGGGAGGCAGCAGAGGGGAAUAUUGGACAAUGGGCGCAAGCCUGAUACAGCCAUACCGCGUGGGUGAAGAAGGCCUUCGGGUUGUAAAGCCCUUUUGUUGGGAAAGAAAAGCAGCAGGUUAAUACCCCGCUGUUCUGACGGUACCCAAAGAAUAAGCACCGGCUAACUUCGUG
This 492-nucleotide ribosomal RNA is filed under the name uncultured bacterium. RNAcentral's name for it is "partial 16S ribosomal RNA". It matches the Rfam family "Bacterial small subunit ribosomal RNA", at positions 29 to 507 of the family's 1533-position model. The record is from RNAcentral.